This 464-nucleotide ribosomal RNA is filed under the name uncultured bacterium. RNAcentral describes it as "partial 16S ribosomal RNA". It matches the Rfam family "Bacterial small subunit ribosomal RNA", at positions 338 to 795 of the family's 1533-position model. The record is from RNAcentral.
CCUACGGGAGGCAGCAGUGGGGAAUAUUGCUCAAUGGGCGAAAGCCUGACGCAGCGACGCCGCGUGAGGGAUGAAGGUCCUCUGAUCUUAAACCUCUUUCAGCACGGAAGAACGGUCACUCUGCUAAGCAGCAUUGAAUUGACGUUACCUGCAAAGGAAGCAUCGGCUAACUCCGUGCCAGCAGCCGCGGUAAUACGGAGGAUGCGAGCGUUAUCAGGAUUUAUUGGGUUUAAAGGCUGCGUAGGCGGAACGUUAAGUCAGUGGUAAAAUUGAGGGGCUCAACCCCUUCCCGCCAUUGAAACUGGCGCUCUUGAGUGGAAGAGAAGUAUGCGGAAUGCGUGGUGUAGCGGUGAAAUGCAUAGAUAUCACGCAGAACCCCGAUUGCGAAGGCAGCAUGCCGGCGUUCGACUGACGCUGAAGCACGAAAGCGUGGGGAUCGAACAGGAUUAGAUACCCUGGUAGUC